This 76-nucleotide transfer RNA is filed under the name Cohnella hongkongensis. RNAcentral describes it as "tRNA-Ala". It matches the Rfam family "tRNA". From Rfam's summary of the family: Transfer RNA (tRNA) molecules are approximately 80 nucleotides in length. Their secondary structure includes four short double-helical elements and three loops (D, anti-codon, and T loops). RNAcentral also lists the same sequence under 6 other names. Lineage: Bacteria; Bacillati; Bacillota; Bacilli; Caryophanales; Paenibacillaceae. The record is from RNAcentral.
GGGGACAUAGCUCAGCUGGGAGAGCACCUGCCUUGCACGCAGGGGGUCAGGAGUUCGAUCCUCCUUGUCUCCACCA